AGAGUUUGAUCCUGGCUCAGGAUGAACGCUAGCUACAGGCUUAACACAUGCAAGUCGAGGGGCAGCAUGGUCUUAGCUUGCUAAGGCCGAUGGCGACCGGCGCACGGGUGAGUAACACGUAUCCAACCUGCCGUCUACUCUUGGACAGCCUUCUGAAAGGAAGAUUAAUACAAGAUGGCAUCAUGAGUCCGCAUGUUCACAUGAUUAAAGGUAUUCCGGUAGACGAUGGGGAUGCGUUCCAUUAGAUAGUAGGCGGGGUAACGGCCCACCUAGUCUUCGAUGGAUAGGGGUUCUGAGAGGAAGGUCCCCCACAUUGGAACUGAGACACGGUCCAAACUCCUACGGGAGGCAGCAGUGAGGAAUAUUGGUCAAUGGGCGAGAGCCUGAACCAGCCAAGUAGCGUGAAGGAUGACUGCCCUAUGGGUUGUAAACUUCUUUUAUAAAGGAAUAAAGUCGGGUAUGCAUACCCGUUUGCAUGUACUUUAUGAAUAAGGAUCGGCUAACUCCGUGCCAGCAGCCGCGGUAAUACGGAGGAUCCGAGCGUUAUCCGGAUUUAUUGGGUUUAAAGGGAGCGUAGAUGGAUGUUUAAGUCAGUUGUGAAAGUUUGCGGCUCAACCGUAAAAUUGCAGUUGAUACUGGAUAUCUUGAGUGCAGUUGAGGCAGGCGGAAUUCGUGGUGUAGCGGUGAAAUGCUUAGAUAUCACGAAGAACUCCGAUUGCGAAGGCAGCCUGCUAAGCUGCAACUGACAUUGAGGCUCGAAAGUGUGGGUAUCAAACAGGAUUAGAUACCCUGGUAGUCCACACGGUAAACGAUGAAUACUCGCUGUUUGCGAUAUACGGCAAGCGGCCAAGCGAAAGCGUUAAGUAUUCCACCUGGGGAGUACGCCGGCAACGGUGAAACUCAAAGGAAUUGACGGGGGCCCGCACAAGCGGAGGAACAUGUGGUUUAAUUCGAUGAUACGCGAGGAACCUUACCCGGGCUUAAAUUGCAGAUGAAUUACGGUGAAAGCCGUAAGCCGCAAGGCAUCUGUGAAGGUGCUGCAUGGUUGUCGUCAGCUCGUGCCGUGAGGUGUCGGCUUAAGUGCCAUAACGAGCGCAACCCUUGUUGUCAGUUACUAACAGGUUCCGCUGAGGACUCUGACAAGACUGCCAUCGUAAGAUGUGAGGAAGGUGGGGAUGACGUCAAAUCAGCACGGCCCUUACGUCCGGGGCUACACACGUGUUACAAUGGGGGGUACAGAGGGCCGCUACCACGCGAGUGGAUGCCAAUCCCCAAAACCUCUCUCAGUUCGGACUGGAGUCUGCAACCCGACUCCACGAAGCUGGAUUCGCUAGUAAUCGCGCAUCAGCCACGGCGCGGUGAAUACGUUCCCGGGCCUUGUACACACCGCCCGUCAAGCCAUGGGAGCCGGGGGUACCUGAAGUGCGUAACCGCGAGGAGCGCCCUAGGGUAAAACUGGUGACUGGGGCUAAGUCGUAACAAGGUAGCCGUACCGGAAGGUGCGGCUG
This 1508-nucleotide ribosomal RNA is filed under the name Phocaeicola vulgatus. RNAcentral describes it as "bacterial SSU rRNA". It matches the Rfam family "Bacterial small subunit ribosomal RNA". RNAcentral also lists the same sequence under 1 other name. The record is from RNAcentral. Lineage: Bacteria; Pseudomonadati; Bacteroidota; Bacteroidia; Bacteroidales; Bacteroidaceae.